This is a non-coding RNA of Monopterus albus (swamp eel), 473 nucleotides long. Lineage: Eukaryota; Metazoa; Chordata; Actinopteri; Synbranchiformes; Synbranchidae. The record is from the annotation of a RefSeq genome assembly.
AUGAUGGACUAUAGGACAGGACUGCUGCUGUUAACUAUCUGCUGGGCAGGUGUUUAUGGUCAGACUCUGACAGAAUCUGAACCAGUGGUUAAAAGGCCUGGAGAUUCCCACAAACUGACAUGUUCAGCCUCUGGAUUUAACUUUGGUGGCUCUUGGAUGCAUUGGAUCAGACAGGCUCCUGGAAAAGGACUGGAGUGGAUUGCUAUUAUUCAUCCUGAUGGCAGUAGCCAUAUAUCCUACUCUCAGUCAGUCCAAGGCCGGUUCACCAUCUCCAGAGACAAUAGUAGAAACCAGCUGUAUCUGCAGAUGAACAGUCUGAAGACUGAAGAUUCUGCUGUUUAUUAUUGUGCCAGAGACUCACAGUGACUGGAGCUGGUUGAGCAGCUGUACAAAAACAUACAGUGCUCCUUAGACCACAAGCAUUAUUUAUUUUUUAACUAUUUAUACUACAUAUUGAACAUUUCAAUCACUGU